Transfer RNA from Podospora anserina, 91 nucleotides. It matches the Rfam family "tRNA". From Rfam's summary of the family: Transfer RNA (tRNA) molecules are approximately 80 nucleotides in length. Their secondary structure includes four short double-helical elements and three loops (D, anti-codon, and T loops). NCBI's taxonomy places the organism in Eukaryota, Fungi, Ascomycota, Sordariomycetes, Sordariales, Podosporaceae. The record is from Rfam.
GGCCGUGUGGUGUAGUGGUAGCAUACUUGCUUUGGGAAUAAACUCCCACAGCUGUUGCAAGUGGUCCCAGGUUCGAGCCCUGGCUCGGCCC